This 492-nucleotide ribosomal RNA is filed under the name uncultured bacterium. Its description in RNAcentral is "partial 16S ribosomal RNA". It matches the Rfam family "Bacterial small subunit ribosomal RNA", at positions 29 to 507 of the family's 1533-position model. The record is from RNAcentral.
AGUGAACGCUGGCGGUAGGCCUAACACAUGCAAGUCGAACGGCAGCACAGUAAGAGCUUGCUCUUACGGGUGGCGAGUGGCGGACGGGUGAGGAAUACAUCGGAAUCUACUUUUUCGUGGGGGAUAACGUAGGGAAACUUACGCUAAUACCGCAUACGACCUACGGGUGAAAGCAGGAGAUCUUCGGACCUUGCGCGAUUGAAUGAGCCGAUGUCGGAUUAGCUAGUUGGCGUGGUAAAGGCCCACCAAGGCGACGAUCCGUAGCUGGUCUGAGAGGAUGAUCAGCCACACUGGAACUGAGACACGGUCCAGACUCCUACGGGAGGCAGCAGUGGGGAAUAUUGGACAAUGGGCGCAAGCCUGAUCCAGCCAUACCGCGUGGGUGAAGAAGGCCUUCGGGUUGUAAAGCCCUUUUGUUGGGAAAGAAAAGCAGCAGGUUAAUACCCCGCUGUUCUGACGGUACCCAAAGAAUAAGCACCGGCUAACUUCGUG